Molecule: long non-coding RNA, 1106 nt
Organism: Equus caballus (horse)
Lineage: Eukaryota; Metazoa; Chordata; Mammalia; Perissodactyla; Equidae
Source: RefSeq, a predicted model, not a curated record
CUUGUGCCACUAUUAGUUUUCGGGGUGGCGGGCUCAUUUGCCUGCCCGCACCAAAGUGUCGGUUGUAUUUUUCAGUUUUGUUUAAACUUCAGAUAAAACUGUAAACACCAUGGGUUGAGGCCCUUUGUCCUGCUUUUGAGCUGAGAGAGUUCCUUCCUCCCCCCACCUUUUAGUGACCUAGCCCUCUGUCUCAGCACUGUCCUCCCUGGCCCCUCUUCUGAAGACCAGUCCCCUCGGCUGCAAAGUGGAGGUGAGGCCACAAAGGCCCAGAGGGUCCUAUGACUUGUCACGGGUCACAUCGCUACUCCCACGAAGAAGAUGAUGAUACCCUGAAAUGAUCUGCCCGUCCCUAUGGCUUCUCAGGCACCCAGUCAAUAAUUAAUUUGACCAACCAACAUUCUUGGAGAUGCCACUGAAGACCCAGCGCUGGGCCUGUGAGGACACCCAGAGGUUCACAACCUUGUCCGUGUCCUCAAGGAGUUCAGCAUCCACAUGGUGUUUGAGUCACCUUGGAGCUCAGCACGGGCACAGGAGAAAAACAGUACAGGAAAUACUUCCCUCAGUGUCAGCUUGAGCAAAAUACCACCCCUGAUGACAUUUGCCUGUGUCUGGAAAUGUUUACACAGGGAUUGCGCUGUAUGGAGCAUUACACCACAUAAAUUUGCCUUUGCAGGUCGUGUUGUCCUUGCAUGUUUCCAAGGGCUGAGAAAGGCAAGGCAGGGAACAUUCAUGAUGUCCUGCUGUGGGUCAGCGCUGUGCCCGCAGCCUCACAGGUGUUACUGCACCCUCACCACCACCUGGUGGGAAGCAUCAUUAUCCCCACUCUGGUGUGGGGAGCUUGCAGCCCUGAGGAGCACUGAAGUGCUGCAGUUCAGGGCGCUGGAGCUGAGAGGGCAGGUUUGUGGGGGGUGGGGGGGAUUAAGUUAGUAAGGUCGGUCCCAGCUCAUGAAGGACCUCGGGUGCUGGCUAAGGAGUAGGACUUUCUCCUGGAAGCUACAGGAGGACACUGAAGUGUAGCAGCAAAAGUCAUCUGAUCAAAUCUACAGGAAAGCUCUCUGGCAGCUGUAUGAGGGCUGGUGGGGACGAAGGAGGAGGGAUUGCAGAAU